Molecule: ribosomal RNA, 330 nt
Filed under: uncultured bacterium
Lineage: Bacteria
Description: bacterial SSU rRNA
Rfam family: Bacterial small subunit ribosomal RNA
Source: RNAcentral
UGCGUAGGCGGCGAUGAAAGUUAGGAGUGAAAGCCCAGGGCUUAACCUUGGAAUUGCUUUUAAAACUCCAUCGCUCGAAUCUCGGAGAGGAUAGCGGAAUUGUCAGUGUAGCAGUGAAAUGCGUAGAUAUUGACAGGAACACCAGUGGCGUAAGCGGCUAUCUGGACGAGUAUCGACGCUGAGGCACGAAAGCGUGGGGAUCAAACAGGAUUAGAUACCCUGGUAGUCCACGCUGUAAACGAUGUGUGUUUGUUGCUGGGAGGUUCACCUCUCAGUAACGGAGCUAACGCAUUAAACACACCGCCUGGGAAGUACGGUCGCAAGAUUAAA